GGGUAUAGUAACCAAUAUAAUUUACUUGAAAAAUCUAAAUAUGUCAGGAUUGUAAAAUAGCAGCAUAAGGUUAAAAAAGUAUAUUAGUAUUUUACUAUACCUA
RNAcentral lists this non-coding RNA (103 nucleotides) under Thalassiosira tenera. Lineage: Eukaryota; Bacillariophyta; Thalassiosirophyceae; Thalassiosirales; Thalassiosiraceae. The record is from RNAcentral.